CGCGCGGGAAGAUGGCGGAACAGGCUACCAAGUCCGUGCUGUUUGUGUGUCUGGGUAACAUUUGUCGAUCACCCAUUGCAGAAGCAGUUUUCAGGAAACUUGUAACCGAUCAAAACAUCUCAGAGAAUUGGAGGGUAGACAGCGCGGCAACUUCCGGUGGGUCAUUGACAGCGGUGCUGUUUCUGACUGGAACGUGGGCCGGUCCCCAGACCCAAGAGCUGUGAGCUGCCUAAGAAAUCAUGGCAUUCACACAGCCCAUAAAGCAAGACAGAUUACCAAAGAAGAUUUUGCCACAUUUGAUUAUAUACUAUGUAUGGAUGAAAGCAAUCUGAGGGGAAUGACUCUGACUUUGAGACGGUGUACCAGCAGUGUGUCAGGUGCUGCAGAGCGUUCUUGGAGAAGGCCCACUGAGGCAGGUUCGUGCCCUGCUGCGGCCAGCCUGACUAGACCCCACCCUGAGGUCCUGCAUUUCUCAGUCGGUGUGUAAUCACGUUCCAGGGCCCAAAGCCCAGCUCUUUGUUCAGUUGACUUACUGUUUCUUACCUUAAAAAGUAAUUGUAGAUGGAAAUCAGUUGUGUUUGGCAGGAGAAUCAAUAAAAAUCUUUGAUUCAGACAGCUUAUGGGGUAUUUUAAGCAUUCUUAGACUAGUUGAACAUCUCACUUUGCCCCAGUUACAAAAAUAGUAGAACAAGCAACAUAAAACAAUGAAGGAAAACCUCACUUGAAGGCCCAGGUCAACAUCUAAGCCUGUUGAGACUUAGAUAAUCGAGUCUACCUCUUCAGUAGGUUUGUGUGGAUGGCCUGGAGGGCAGGUGCCCUCUGCUCCCCAGUGCUACCUCUCUCUUCCCUAGGGCCUUUUGUGGAUUGACAGUAGUCCCCUCCGUAGGAGCUCACAGUCUAGAUUAGAAGUGUUUUAAUUUCUACACACCCAUAGUGCACACUUGUAUAUUGAAAAGAUAGGGAAGAGAGAAACAUUUAUGGAAUCAGUCGUUGGCACCUUCAAUACUUCAUGAUUUUUGUCGAGUUUACUUCAUGAGGAGGUCAGCCCAUUGGCUCCCAUCUGAACCACUUUGCCUCUGAAACUUAAUUACAUCCAGAAAGAAGGACACUUGUAUGCUAGUCUAUGGUCAGUUGAGGAAUAUGACUGUUUUUAUAUGCACAUGUAACCCAAAUGUCCAAUAUAAAUUGGCUUAUUUUUUAAAAUAAUUUUAAAAGUUGGGAAAAGUGUUAUUAUUUGGCAUGCUUAAAUAUUGAAUAAGUAUUCUUCAUCAGCAUUUAAUAAAUGUAUAGGCAGAUGUAAGGUAAUUUCUGUGUAUUUUGAGAUAAUGUCAAAAUCAUGAAUAUUUCAAAAUAAACUGGGGAGUUAUAAAAAUACAA
Molecule: long non-coding RNA, 1377 nt
Filed under: Homo sapiens (human)
Lineage: Eukaryota; Metazoa; Chordata; Mammalia; Primates; Hominidae
Description: long non-coding RNA NONHSAT181094.1
Source: RNAcentral